Molecule: non-coding RNA, 30 nt
Filed under: Rattus norvegicus (Norway rat)
Lineage: Eukaryota; Metazoa; Chordata; Mammalia; Rodentia; Muridae
Source: RNAcentral
UCCUCGUUAAUUCUUGAACUCUUGGGUCCU